GACGAAGGUGGCGAGCGUUGUUCGGAAUCACUGGGCGUAAAGAGCUCGUAGGCGGUUUGUUGCGUCGGCUGUGAAAUCCCGAGGCUCAACCUCGGGUCUGCAGUCGAUACGAGCAAACUAGAGUGUUGCAGGGGAGACUGGAAUUCCUGGUGUAGCGGUGAAAUGCGCAGAUAUCAGGAGGAACACCGGUGGCGAAGGCGGGUCUCUGGGCAACAACUGACGCUGAGGAGCGAAAGCGUGGGGAGCGAACAGG
This 253-nucleotide ribosomal RNA is filed under the name uncultured bacterium. RNAcentral describes it as "partial 16S ribosomal RNA". It matches the Rfam family "Bacterial small subunit ribosomal RNA", at positions 524 to 776 of the family's 1533-position model. The record is from RNAcentral.